UCUCUCUCUAAAUCCCUUUUCUCUACCUUCUCUUUAAGGCUUCCACUAGAAACUUCAAGCGAUUUCAAAAACUGGCCAAAAACCCAAAUUUUGAGGUCGAAAAUUUCAACCGGCCACCGGAAAGCUUAAUCCUUUCUAAAAAAUUAAAAGAACUCAAAAAGCAACCACUGUGAACUUCAUCAGAAAGUUCAAAGAUUUAUCAGAAUCUGCAUAAAAAACCCAAAAAACCCAAAAAAAAUUCCAAAAAACAAAACUUUCCAGAAAUUUUAAAACUAACCCGAAAUCCAAACAGUUUUUCCAAAACCCAUAAACUCAAGACAAUUCUACAACAGAAAAAAAAAAUCAUCAUAGUCCAAAAAACUUGAAAUUUCAACUGUUUAAACACAUAACCCAGAAUUUUUCAGAAAAGUAAAAAUUUCCAAAAACGUCUUUGUAAACCCAAAAUUCAAUUGUUGCUUCCCCUUUUUAUCAUUUCCCCUCCUUUGUGUGGUUGAUUGUUGUUGGUUUUAUAGAGAUCAAAUCUCUUUUAAUUUUGAAAAAUUUUCACUGGUUAAUUUGGGAUUUGAUUUGAAUUUAAUAUGUGAUUAAUGAAGAUCUAUCUUGGAUUUUCCUUUAGUGAAAUCCAACAAAUUUGAUUCC
Molecule: long non-coding RNA, 639 nt
Filed under: Durio zibethinus
Lineage: Eukaryota; Viridiplantae; Streptophyta; Magnoliopsida; Malvales; Malvaceae
Description: long non-coding RNA (DZIB_LNC000658)
Source: RNAcentral